Molecule: non-coding RNA, 620 nt
Organism: Biomphalaria pfeifferi
Lineage: Eukaryota; Metazoa; Mollusca; Gastropoda; Planorbidae
Source: the annotation of a GenBank genome assembly
UACCUGCCUAUGAAUUAACUGAAUUUACUGCUGACCUAUCAACUGGCUGCAUACACCUAUCUGCUCAUUGAAGUACCACAAACUAUCAACUGACUGCAUUGUUUGCUUGAUUAGAGAAAAUGUGAUUCCUCUAGUAGAUGUAAAUGUCUAUCUGAUUUUAAAAUGGCCUUCGUCAUUGUGAAUACUAACAUUUUGACUUCAAUGGUUUUAAGUUGCCUACUAAAUAUUUUGUACGGCAACUUUCAUUUGUUUUGAGCGACUUGUGAUAAGGCAAUUUUGUGGAGAUUUGUACAGGGAUUGAAGCUAUGUCUUGUAUAGAUGUGUAUGAGUGUGUGUGUGUGCUCAGUAAAUAGAUGUGUACUUGUAAGAAUGUGCAUGUGUGUGUUUUGGUGAACACAUUUGCUGCACAUGGUGUUUACCAUGGCUUCUAGUUGAUGCAACUGCAGUUGGUCCUGUUCAUAUUAAACAUAUAUUUUUAAUGAGUAAAAAAGUGAAUGAGUCUCUGCUUAUAUUUUUAAAUUAUUUGAAGCGUGGGUGCGAGAUGACUGUUUCAGCUUACUGCUGCUUUAUAUACAUAUAUAUAUACAUAUAUGUGUAUAAAUAUAUAUAUAUAUAUUUAU